GUGAGGAAUAUUGCGCAAUGGAGGCAACUCUGACGCAGCCAUGCCGCGUGCAGGAAGAAGGCGCUACGCGUUGUAAACUGCUUUUAACCGGGAAGAAACCCCAGGACGUGUCCUGGGUUGACGGUACCGGAGGAAUAAGCACCGGCUAACUUCGUGCCAGCAGCCGCGGUAAUACGAAGGGUGCAAGCGUUAUCCGGAUUCAUUGGGUUUAAAGGGUGCGUAGGCGGAGCGUUAAGUCAGUGGUGAAAUCCUGCAGCUUAACUGUAGACUUGCCAUUGAUACUGGCGCUCUUGAGUGCGGUUGAAGGGGGCGGAAUGUGUCGUGUAGCGGUGAAAUGCUUAGAUAUGGAACAGAACACCAAUUGCGAAGGCAGCUCACUAAGGCGAUACUGACGCUGAGGCACGAAAGCGUGGGGAUCGAACAGGAUUAGAAACCCGGGUAGUCC
This 445-nucleotide ribosomal RNA is filed under the name uncultured bacterium. Its description in RNAcentral is "partial 16S ribosomal RNA". It matches the Rfam family "Bacterial small subunit ribosomal RNA", at positions 354 to 796 of the family's 1533-position model. The record is from RNAcentral.